AUGUUCAUGUAGAAGGCUGCCAGUGGAGGUGGACAUAAGAGGACAAUGCGGGAAGUCGGCUCUCGCCUUUCACUAUGUGGGUCUGAGAGAUGAAACUCAAGUCAUCAAGUAUGGUGACCGGCACCCUUAAGGACUGAGACGUUAACUGCCACCCUCUUGGGAGUCUGCCACUACUAUCCACCUGUGACGUGGAAACAGGACUCUGCUUCACUCUGUGACAAGGCCCUGGUCUGCUCUCUAUAUCCUGUUCAGAGGCUGAUGCAUAAUUGUUACCAAACAAGCAUUCUCCAGACAGAGAGCAGCUCCGUGCAGAUCACAGAGCAACUUGAACUCCAGUCUAAAUACUUUGAGUAUUAUUCUGUUGGCAAAGAGGACGUGUUUGAAAGGCUUUGCUGGCAGCGGUGUGGAAUACAGACCGGGCCAAGGACGGGAAGAAGAGAACACCCAGGAGCUCUUGCAGGAACACAGGCAGAGUUGCGUGAGGCAGAAUUUGAGCAGAGGCUGAGUAUCUGCGGUGGGGAGGACACAAAGAUAAUUAAUGUGUGUUAUUAUCUCCAGGGUCUAGAUGGCCCCGGGCUCGCAUUCAGUAUAGAGAUUGUCAGGAGUUGGAGUCUGGCAAGUGUGUUAGGAGUUCUGUGCUUAUGUGCCCAGAGGCAGAUGGAAGAGGGGUACCCUUUCUCAAUGCUUGGACAGAAUAGAUACAGGGAAACAAGUGAAUGUCUGUUAUUUCCUUGUAAUGCAAACAGAAUCCCUAAAGUACACACAGGAGUAUUCUUUUCCCUCCAUAUUUUGGACAGAAUUUCACAAUUGUGAGAAAACCAUGAUUGUCUAUAUGGAACACGCUCAGUGCAUCGGUGCAUGAGUCAGUUAAAGUGAACAGCGUCUGCUUUCAGCUUCAUCCUUGAAAGCAACCCAGGUUCCAAGGCUGAGGCUUGAGCACAUCAUUCUCGCCGGGCCUCUGGACCGAAUCCAGGUUAGAAGAAUUGGUCUGUGACUCAGAUACAUCAUAUACACUCCAGGAAAUCCUUUUCUUUUUUCUUUCUGAGCUUUUACAGACCUUGACUAUAAGGUAAGCAAUUUACAUUCUUCCCUGUGACUUUUGGCCAGAUGUCUGCUAUUGUCACUGCUUUGUGAGACCCAACCACCUGGGAGCCCAGUUAUGUGGACUGGACUUGGAUUUGUCAGGGUUCUCCCUGGGGCUGGCCUGAGAUUUAUCAUCAAUAAUAUUCCUUUUCCCCCCGGGGACUUCGCCGCAGCUGUUCACCAUGAAGCCCAGGUACACAUUAACUCCUACCUCCCAGGGGGAGAAAGCAGAGAGAAACAUAUUCCUGAACUGUUUCCAUAUCAGCUUUGCUAGAAGAGUAAUCAGAAACUGAUUUGCAAGAAGAAGUACAUCUGGGAAGCAUUAUAAACCAAGGCUGGAGCUGCACACAGUGUGUGCACAUGCACUUUGUCCAGGAAGAGAAGCUAGAAGCUGGAGUGAUAGGUUUGAGAGGACAGGCUGAAGGAAGUAGCCACUGGAUGUUUGUGUAACAGUAAUAAACAACAAAAAUAACAU
Molecule: long non-coding RNA, 1558 nt
Filed under: Mus musculus (house mouse)
Lineage: Eukaryota; Metazoa; Chordata; Mammalia; Rodentia; Muridae
Description: RIKEN cDNA 6030469F06 gene (6030469F06Rik)
Source: RNAcentral